GAUGAACGCUGGCGGCGUGCCUAAUACAUGCAAGUCGAGCGAACGGACGAGAAGCUUGCUUCUCUGAUGUUAGCGGCGGACGGGUGAGUAACACGUGGAUAACCUACCUAUAAGACUGGGAUAACUUCGGGAAACCGGAGCUAAUACCGGAUAAUAUUUUGAACCGCAUGGUUCAAAAGUGAAAGACGGUCUUGCUGUCACUUAUAGAUGGAUCCGCGCUGCAUUAGCUAGUUGGUAAGGUAACGGCUUACCAAGGCAACGAUGCAUAGCCGACCUGAGAGGGUGAUCGGCCACACUGGAACUGAGACACGGUCCAGACUCCUACGGGAGGCAGCAGUAGGGAAUCUUCCGCAAUGGGCGAAAGCCUGACGGAGCAACGCCGCGUGAGUGAUGAAGGUCUUCGGAUCGUAAAACUCUGUUAUUAGGGAAGAACAUAUGUGUAAGUAACUGUGCACAUCUUGACGGUACCUAAUCAGAAAGCCACGGCUAACUACGUGCCAGCAGCCGCGGUAAUACGUAGGUGGCAAGCGUUAUCCGGAAUUAUUGGGCGUAAAGCGCGCGUAGGCGGUUUUUUAAGUCUGAUGUGAAAGCCCACGGCUCAACCGUGGAGGGUCAUUGGAAACUGGAAAACUUGGGUGCAGAAGAGGAAAGUGGAAUUCCAUGUGUAGCGGUGAAAUGCGCAGAGAUAUGGAGGAACACCAGUGGCGAAGGCGACUUUCUGGUCUGUAACUGACGCUGAUGUGCGAAAGCGUGGGGAUCAAACAGGAUUAGAUACCCUGGUAGUCCACGCCGUAAACGAUGAGUGCUAAGUGUUAGGGGGUUUCCGCCCCUUAGUGCUGCAGCUAACGCAUUAAGCACUCCGCCUGGGGAGUACGACCGCAAGGUUGAAACUCAAAGGAAUUGACGGGGACCCGCACAAGCGGUGGAGCAUGUGGUUUAAUUCGAAGCAACGCGAAGAACCUUACCAAAUCUUGACAUCCUUUGACAACUCUAGAGAUAGAGCUUUCCCCUUCGGGGGACAAAGUGACAGGUGGUGCAUGGUUGUCGUCAGCUCGUGUCGUGAGAUGUUGGGUUAAGUCCCGCAACGAGCGCAACCCUUAAGCUUAGUUGCCAUCAUUAAGUUGGGCACUCUAAGUUGACUGCCGGUGACAAACCGGAGGAAGGUGGGGAUGACGUCAAAUCAUCAUGCCCCUUAUGAUUUGGGCUACACACGUGCUACAAUGGACAAUACAAAGGGCAGCGAAACCGCGAGGUCAAGCAAAUCCCAUAAAGUUGUUCUCAGUUCGGAUUGUAGUCUGCAACUCGACCACAUGAAGCUGGAAUCGCUAGUAAUCGUAGAUCAGCAUGCUACGGUGAAUACGUUCCCGGGUCU
This 1372-nucleotide ribosomal RNA is filed under the name uncultured bacterium. Its description in RNAcentral is "bacterial SSU rRNA". It matches the Rfam family "Bacterial small subunit ribosomal RNA", at positions 28 to 1381 of the family's 1533-position model. The record is from RNAcentral.